GACAGAGGGGGCAAGCGUUGUCCGGAGUUACUGGGCGUAAAGGGCGCGGAGGCGGUCUGCGGCGUCGGCGCUGAAAGCGCCCCGCUUAACGGGGCGAGGCGUGCCGAUACGCGCAGACCUGAGGCGAGCAGAGGGUGGUGGAAUUCCGGGUGGAGCGGUGAAAUGCGUAGAGAUCCGGAGGAACGCCAGUGGGGAAGUCGGCCACCUGGGCUCGUCCUGACGCUGCGGCGCGACCGCGUGGGGAGCAAACCGG
This 253-nucleotide ribosomal RNA is filed under the name uncultured bacterium. RNAcentral's name for it is "partial 16S ribosomal RNA". It matches the Rfam family "Bacterial small subunit ribosomal RNA", at positions 524 to 776 of the family's 1533-position model. The record is from RNAcentral.